AAAGGAAACUGUCCUUGGCAGAAUCAUGGCAGUAUACUCUUAGGUUACUACCGAAAAUAAGGCAAAUUGGAGAAAUGUUCUGGUCUUGGUUCAAACCUUCCCCUUCAGCCUUAUGUCCAUCAUUUAAUUACAUGCUGUGAUAGAAAGAGUAGUGCCCCUCCCCCAAGAUGGCCAUGUCCUAAUCCCCCAAACCUGUGAAUAUGUAACUUUACAUGGCAAAAGGGAUUUUAGAGAUGGAAUUAAUGAAGUGCUUUGAGCUGGGAGAGUAUCCAGGUGUGCCCAAUGAGGUCACAAGGUUCUAAAAAGGGGAAAAGGAAGGCAGCCAUGUUAAAGGAGUUCUGACCACAGAAGCUGCCGUGGGAGUUGCACAACCACAAACCAAGGGAUAUAGUCUCUAGAGGCUAAACAAUGGAAAAACAACAUUUCUCUCCUAGAACCUUCAGAGCGACCAUGAUCCUACCCACAUCUUGAUUUCAGCCCAGGGAAAUCCAUUUGAGAACUUCUGACCUUCAGAACGAAAAAUAGUGGACACAGUCCUUUAUGAUCGCACUCAAUGAGCAACUGCCAAAUCAUAAGCCAGUGAAGAAGACAGCAUGAAUACAGGAAAAGUGACUUAAAAAAAAAUACUUCAAGUGCCAAAGGAGUGGUACAACAAAGGAUCCAGGACUGCAGUGGAAGAGAGCUCUUAAACUGUGGUCAAGGAAGGAUGAACUGAGCCAGGACCAGGACUUGCUUUUCCACAUAAGAGGGUGUGACUCAAAGGGCCACAGAAAGAAUCGGAGGAAUUAUUUAUAACCUCCUCCCCACAACCUUGGACAUGUCUAUCUGAUUUAUACCAUCUUUUUUUCCUAGACCUAUUGUCUCCCUGAAAGUUUUCUCUAGGGCAAAUCUGUCUUUAUAACCAAUAUCCCUAUCAUUCAUUUGCCUGAUCUUUCUAAGUAAAACCCUUAAUUGCCAGACGUGAGUUCCAACACCUUUAAAAUACGCGUCACAAAAUGGAUGUGCAGAUCAACAAGAAUGCCCUGGACAGGGCUUCAAACAGCAUGAAAUACCAGAGGGGUCUUUCUAAAAUGCAAGUCUCUGGAUACAAGGCCUUCCUCAUGAUCCUCUCCAGCCAAACCAAAUGUUUUUGGCUUUCAAAGCUUUGGAGCUUUCUCAAGUGCAGAUUAUGGAUUUGGCUAUAAUUUGAAUAAUCUGAAGGUGAGACAUGUUAGAAUCAGGUAGAUCACAGCCUGCAUUUUCCUCAAGAAGAAACUGAGGGCCACCCAGGGAAAAUUCAUUGUUCCAAGUUCACAACUAACUAAUGACAUAGAUGAACCAGAAUCCAUUUCCCGGAUUCUAUUCUGUAAUCCCAUCACAGUGGGGAUUGCUCACUUCACGUUACACCAUCUCUCUUCACUGCCCUGCAACUUGGUGGUCACAUCCAACAUCCAGGUAACAGGUGAGGGGAAUGGAACCGCAGCAGCUACAUCUAUACAGAGACCUGAUGUUAACAGUUAAUUCCUAGAGAAAUUAUGAAACCCUUUAGAGAUUAGAACAUUACAACUAAAGACAUUUUUAAAGAGGAUUAGAAUGGCUCAUGUUUGACCUCUGAGAGGACUCUAAGUUAAUACAGAGUUUCCUUCAGGGGUGGCAUGUGAGAAAGUGGAAUGUGGUUCACAGACAAAUCUUUUUCAUCUUAUUAAAUCACUGCGUAUGUAUUUUUAUAGUUACCUUCCAUUUAGUUCCAUGGGAUACUGGUUUUCCCAUUUCCAAUAGUGACAUUAAUUUCCUUUUAAAAAAUAUGUUUAAAAACCAAUUUAAAUGAAAUGAUUAAGAAAAUAAUGUUAGAAAUGGCAUCUGGAUAUGAAAAAAAAUCAUAAAGGUAGUACAUGUAUGAAAGAAUCUUGGGAAACAAUUUUCAAAGAGGUAUUUUUUUCCUGGUAAGAUUAAGAUUCAAAAAGGUAUAUCUAUUAUUUGUGUUACUUUGCUUAACAUUUCUCACAGGAGGAUUUCAAACAUGGUUUUUAUGCCACAGCCCACAUGGAAAACUACUAGAUAAAAGGAUGGAACUGCUCAUGAUAGAGGUGACAGCAGCCUAGGAGAUUCCAAUUCCCCUUGGCCCUGCCUCACUGCUGGAGAUUUCAAAGAAUCAGUACCUCAGGCGUCCCUUUAACCCAAGAGGGUGCACUCACUGAGAAGCCCUGACGUACCUCAAGGCAGGUUCUCUUUCUGAAACAGGAACAGAAAUGAAAGGACAGCUCUGUUCCCUGCUAAUAAGUAGCAAUCAGGAGGACUUGGACAAGGACAAUAUUAGAUACGAACAGAUACCUACCAUUGCUCACCAUCCGCCUGGCCACUUCCC
Long non-coding RNA from Sus scrofa (pig), 2344 nucleotides. RefSeq lists it as uncharacterized. The record is from RefSeq and is a predicted model, not a curated record. Lineage: Eukaryota; Metazoa; Chordata; Mammalia; Artiodactyla; Suidae.